CCCCUCUCAGGGUCGCAUCUAGAGAGUUUUCAGUACUCUAUCGGUCUUGACUACAGGAGGGAGAAUCAAGCUGAGGCAUGUCCAUUCCAUUCCUAGCUUGGGCAGUGGCUAGUGAGUGGAAGGCAAUCUGCUACAAGU
Ornithorhynchus anatinus (platypus) is the source of this 138-nucleotide small nucleolar RNA. Lineage: Eukaryota; Metazoa; Chordata; Mammalia; Monotremata; Ornithorhynchidae. The record is from RefSeq and is a predicted model, not a curated record.